CACGUAAGGGGCGAGCGUUGUUCGGAAUUAUUGGGCGUAAAGGGCGCGUAGGCGGUUCUGCAAGCCCGGCGUGAAAAUCUGGAGCUUAACUCCGGAACUGCGUUGGGAACUGCGGGACUAGAGUCAUAGAAGGGGAGUUGGAAUUCCAGGUGUAGGGGUGAAAUCUGUAGAUAUCUGGAAGAACACCGGUGGCGAAGGCGAACUCCUGGCUACUGACUGACGCUGAGGCGCGAAAGUGCGGGGAGCAAACAGG
This 253-nucleotide ribosomal RNA is filed under the name uncultured bacterium. RNAcentral's name for it is "partial 16S ribosomal RNA". It matches the Rfam family "Bacterial small subunit ribosomal RNA", at positions 524 to 776 of the family's 1533-position model. The record is from RNAcentral.